Salvelinus sp. IW2-2015 is the source of this 638-nucleotide non-coding RNA. The record is from the annotation of a RefSeq genome assembly. Lineage: Eukaryota; Metazoa; Chordata; Actinopteri; Salmoniformes; Salmonidae.
ACUCCCAGUCUGUGCUUCUACUUUUACAGGACCUUAGAACUUUUCCACAAUGAGAGUUCUAGAAUGUAUGUUCCUCCUGGCUCUCAUCUCAGCUGUUCAGGGACAGUCACUCACCUCCUCUGAGCCAGUGGUGAACAGACCUAGAGAGUCAGUAACACUGUCCUGUGCUGUGUCUGGACUACCCCUGAGCUGGUUACACUGGAUCCGUCAGAAACCAGGGAAAGGACUAGAGUGGAUUGGGCGCAUUGACAGUGGCACUGGCACUAUAUUUGCCCAGUCUCUCCAGGGCCAGUUCACCAUCACCAAAGACAACUCCAAAAACCAGCUGUACUUAGAGGUGAAAAGCCUGAAGACUGAAGACUCUGCUGUUUAUUAUUGUGCCAGAGACACAGUGACACAGGAUCCUGCAGCGCCGUACAAAAACUGGUCAACACUGAACCUAGUCAGUGUUUCCUUGUCCCCACAACACCCCUCCGACCCCCUGGACGUCAAGGGAGCUCCCGCCUAUGCGGUCAGAUCCCUACAGGACUCCCAAUGUUGUGGGGGUCGGCUGCAGUACCUGGUGGACUGGAAGGGGUAUGGCCCAGAGGAGCGGUGUACGGUUCUGGUGGAGGACAUUCUGGAUCCCAACAUCAUCU